CCAAACGCACCCUAGGUCUCCUGCGCCCGUCGCCGCCACAUAUGAUCUCCGGCGACAGGAGAUCCUGCCCUCCGGUGGAUCGGCUUCACCCUCCCCGUAUCCCCAGUCCCUUCGCCGCUUUCCCGCACACUGUCCCGACACCACUCCCACCCACGCCCACCGAUGCUGCCCCUCCCACCUCGCCCCGCCCCCGUCCCCAAAUCUGCCCCGGUGCCACUCUCCCAUGAGCCCCUCGUGGGUACCGGUCCUUCCUCCUCUCCCCGCCCAUGUCCCCAAAUCCUCCCCGGCGCCACUCCCCGAGGAGCCCUGGUGGGUCGCUGCCCGACACCUUUUUUGCUUCGAAUUCAAUCGUGGGUUCACCUGGGUGUGCCUCUUUCUCCAUGGGUUUUGAGUUCUGGGCGAGGAUUGUGACCGUGAGGAUGCAGACGACGUCGCGGUGCACCCGACCGAGGACGAGCUCGUGUGUGGUGUGCCACGGCCAAGGGGUGCAGAUUGUGAAAUCUUGCUGCCAUCUAGGUGAAAUGUCUGUGCAAGUAUUGUCCAGCAGUUUGAGAUCUCGGUCAAUGUGGAGGUGCCCUGCCACGACAUGAUGUUAGAUGCAGCAACUACGACUAUGGUUGCGUCUGUGGCUGGCAAAAAAAGGCGGCCGAGACAUCCUUGGUGUAAAGUUUACAUGGUAAUCAUGAGCUGAUUUUCUAAUGUGCGUGAUGUCACACCGGAGAAUGUUGGCGGUCUUGAUUUGUUGAAGAAACAAAUUGACUGGUGCAUUCUUCAUUGUAUAAAGCACCCCAAUGUUUACAAGGUAAUCACAUAAGUUGUGUUAUGCGCCACGUUCUUCUGUUUGUUGUGUUAUCUGGUCAUCACAGUGAUUGGUAGUUUAAAAGUUUAAGUGACCUCUGAAUUCGUCCUAAAGGUGGUCUAUAGACAUUUGUGCUUCUUAUAUGCAUUUUAUAAGUUGUAGCAGGGCACCUGAUUGCUUAAAAUACUAAGUAUUCAUAAUUGUUUUCAUGCUCCCCUUUUGCUGUCUGCCUUUGAAGGAUUUGAGUGAGCUUGCAAGUUGGUUUCUGCUGUUUGGACCUUCAGGCUAUGGGAAGACACAAAUGGCAAUUGGUUUUGAGAUUUUCAUAUUAUUAAUGCUAGAUUUCUUUUGUGUAUAGAAUGUUGAGAUGUUACCUUUUCCUGAGCUGUUGAACAAGUAUAUUGGGGAUAGUGAAUCAGGAGCACACUGGCGGAUCAGGAACGAGUGGUGCUGGAUGGACGAGAACUACGCUUCAAUUGCUUCAGAAGCACACUGGCGAGGAUCAUUACUACUUAGAGAUGCAGUUGUCGCCAAGAGUUUAGUAAUUAUUGGAGGCGUGAUUAAGAAGCUACAUGGUAUACUGAGGUUUUGCUUUUCUAACACUGUUGCACACUUUGCAUUUUAUUGCUUGUUGUAUAUUAAAAUGAGUACAACCCAGAUUUAUUGAUAUGUCUCGUUAAAAAUGAAUUGUUCGUUAAAACACACACACACACACACACACACACACACACACAAGUGGAGCUCCUUCAAAUGUACUGUACUUGAUAGUGUUCCCAAGUUAUGUUAGAGUAAGGGCGGAUCAAGAGAUAUGCCAAUUUGUCUUCUUGAAGUGAGAUGGUGGUUUAGGAGACACCAUGACCGCCAGGAGAAAAUAUGCAAGGAAGAGAAAGUAUUUGAGUUUAUUUUAUUAUAGUGUUAGAACUUGUCUCCUCAUAACACAGAGGUCAGCCCAGCUUUUUCAUAAAACAGAGUUUUGUAUCAGCAACAAAUGGUUGAACUGUUGGAGGUAUAGUGAAAGUGAUUGCAAGUUCACAUAAUAACAUGUAUAUAAGUUUUGUCCUUUAUCUCCAUAUAUAUUCUUUAUUGUGGCCUGGCGACCGACUCGGCAUCCCUGUCGCCAUUGCUACAGCAUGGCUCCUCCCAGUUUGAGAGAUUCACGUGGUGAUCACUGAUACACAGCUGCAGCCGGAGGUGCUGUCCAUAGGUGAAGCAUCAACCUGCCAUUCGUGAGCCGUUAGGAGCUGCUGCGUCGCACUGCCAGAGUGAUCGCCGCCGUUGUUUGUCGGAGCAGAGCCAUGCAUGUCAUGCGCGUCUCGCUGGAGUAAAGCCAUGGCUGUAGUCAAACACACCUGACUACGGUGCUAUGAGGAAUGAAGGACAACCUGGACGUUGGAUGUCAGGGCAGGGUUGAGGUAGAGGAACUUGAAUGUAUCUUCGAGCAGGACGGCGGUCAGUCGGUUCGGCCUGGGUACUGAGUGUCGACCCUCUCGUGUGCAACAACUGUAGGAUGAGGUAGAGCUUCAAGAUGGGGCGAUAGCAGGAUGUUGCGGAGCUUGGUGAGAUCGAGGCCAUGUUGUGGAGGCAGGCCGGACGGCUACAGGACAGACUGGACCAGAGGUACGGCGAGGGUAGCAUGGCCUGGUUUUGCGAGAUGUUUGGCUCAAAUGAAGGCCAAUUAGUAGUGCAAAAAAUAAAUGAAUACUCCCUCCGUCCCAAAAUUCUUGUCUUAGAUUAGUCUAGA
Molecule: non-coding RNA, 2540 nt
Organism: Triticum urartu
Lineage: Eukaryota; Viridiplantae; Streptophyta; Magnoliopsida; Poales; Poaceae
Source: RefSeq, a predicted model, not a curated record